UGGAACAAUGGGGAUGCGCUUUUACGUAUUUAGUGACCUUUACAGAUUUAUUCCCCUCCUUCAGGACGGCGUGAAGACUGAAAGUGUAAGAAGAUGUGGAGGGAAACAGAGAAUCUGACAGGAGCGGCGAACGCACAAGUGCACGAAUUUUGCUUCUUGCUUGGAUUUAAACUCAGGAGUUGAAAGGAAUUUGUGAAUGAGAAGGGACAUUUCAGAAGGAGAAGAAGAAGUUGUUGUUACAGCCCUGACAAAAUCUUUUGUUCUAGCUAAUAAGUUAGUUUAAAUAAAGAAAAAAAA
Zonotrichia albicollis (white-throated sparrow) is the source of this 297-nucleotide non-coding RNA. The record is from RefSeq and is a predicted model, not a curated record. NCBI's taxonomy places the organism in Eukaryota, Metazoa, Chordata, Aves, Passeriformes, Passerellidae.